UACGUAGGGAGCAAGCGUUGUUCGGAUUUACUGGGCGUAAAGGGCGCGUAGGCGGCGCGACAAGUCACUUGUGAAAUCCCCGGGCUUAACCUGGGAACUGCGUUUCUAACUGGCAGGCUUGAGUUCGGCAGGGGAGACUGGAAUUCCUGGUGUAGCGGUGAAAUGCGCAGAUAUCAGGAGGAACACCGGUGGCGAAGGCGGGUCUCUGGGCCGAUACUGACGCUGAGGAGCGAAAGCGUGGGGAGCGAACAGG
RNAcentral lists this ribosomal RNA (253 nucleotides) under uncultured bacterium. Its description in RNAcentral is "partial 16S ribosomal RNA". It matches the Rfam family "Bacterial small subunit ribosomal RNA", at positions 524 to 776 of the family's 1533-position model. The record is from RNAcentral.